Molecule: ribosomal RNA, 253 nt
Filed under: uncultured bacterium
Lineage: Bacteria
Description: partial 16S ribosomal RNA
Rfam family: Bacterial small subunit ribosomal RNA
Source: RNAcentral
UACGUAGGGGGCAAGCGUUGUCCGGAAUCAUUGGGCGUAAAGCGCGUGUAGGCGGCUCGGUAAGUCUGCUGUGAAAGUCCAGGGCUCAACCCUGGGAUGCCGGUGGAUACUGUCGAGCUCGAGUCCGGAAGAGGCGAGUGGAAUUCCUGGUGUAGCGGUGAAAUGCGCAGAUAUCAGGAGGAACACCAAUAGCGAAGGCAGCUCGCUGGGACGGUACUGACGCUAAGGCGCGAAAGCGUGGGGAGCGAACAGG